GUUUGAUCCUGGCUCAGAGUGAACGCUGGCGGCGUGCCUAAUACAUGCAAGUCGAACGCGAAAGUCCUUCGGGAUGAGUAAAGUGGCGCACGGGUGAGUAAUGGUUGAGAACAUGCCCUGAGGUGGGGAAUAACAGUUGGAAACGACUGCUAAUACCGCAUGGUAUCGCAAGAUUAAAGGUGGGGACCGCAAGGCCUACCGCCACAGGAUUGGCUCAACUCCCAUUAGCUAGUUGGUAGGGUAAUGGCCUACCAAGGCAACGAUGGGUAUGUGGUCUUAGAGGAUGAUCACACACACUGGAACUGAGACACGGUCCAGACUCCUACGGGAGGCAGCAGUAGGGAAUAUUGCACAAUGGAGGAAACUCUGAUGCAGCAACGCCGCGUGAGUGAAGAAGGCCCUUGGGUCGUAAAGCUCUUUAGCCUGGAAAGAAGUGCCAUCCCGUCAAUAAUAGGGUGGUGUGACGGUACCAGGAGAAUAAGGACCGGCUAAUUUCGUGCCAGCAGCCGCGGUAAUACGAAAGGUCCAAGCGUUACUCGGAAUUACUGGGCGUAAAGCGCGCGUAGGCGGCUUUGUAUGUCGAUUGUGAAAGCCCCGGGCUCAACCUGGGAACUGCAGUCGAAACUGCAAAGCUUGAAUGUUGGAGAGGUUGGGGGAAUACCUAGUGGAGAAGUGAAAUUCGUAGAGAUUAGGUGGAACACCAGAGGCGAAGGCGCCUGACUGGCCAAACAUUGACGCUGAGGCGCGAAAGCGUGGGUAGCAAACAGGAUUAGAUACCCUGGUAGUCCACGCCGUAAACUAUGGACACUCGCCGUUCGAAGCAUUAACCCUUUGAGUGGCAAAGCUAACGCAUUAAGUGUCCCGCCUGGGAAGUACGGUCGCAAGACUAAAACUCAAAGGAAUUGACG
RNAcentral lists this ribosomal RNA (908 nucleotides) under uncultured bacterium. RNAcentral's name for it is "bacterial SSU rRNA". It matches the Rfam family "Bacterial small subunit ribosomal RNA", at positions 11 to 915 of the family's 1533-position model. The record is from RNAcentral.